GGGUAUUUUGGCAGAAAUCCCCGAAUGUCUUCUUCUCAAACACAAUCCCCUCCCACCGACGUAGCCCGCAGACAACAGACCGGCACUGCCGUGCGAUCCGAAGACAACCAUCGCAAUCAGUUGGAAAACAUUGCUGUUGGAAAACUCACCAAAUCUGAAGGAGCACCCGCCCAACAGAACGUGAUCAUUGCAAAAGAGGUGGUUAUCAAUAACCACUUCAAUUUCAACUGAGCUGGAGUGUGUGUGUGUAGAAUCGUCCUGGCCUCAGUGGUUAAGGAAUUUAAUCUUGGGGAUUUUGAUCUCCUCGAUUCUGUUCAUCUUGACGAAAACACAGGACACCGUUGCCGUUUAUCACGAGCCAUCGGUGUACUCGAUCGAUCAAACGCAAAAAUUCCAAAAGAUCGACAUACACAAUGGCGGCAAGUAGCCGGUCUACCCGAGGUAGAAAGCAGCGCGGACGUAGCGUGGAAGCAAAAUCCAGAGCUAUUCGAGCCAACCCGCCUGUCCCUCGACCCAACCCGCAGCGAAACCGUCCCCCACCUGCGGGAACAACCUGCUCCAUGUCCGAAAUUCUGCUUGCAGUGUCAGCAACAACUGCUGACCAAAUUCUCGAGAUUCCAGUGUGCGCAGGGAUUGACUUCCCAGCUGGAACGCCACCCCGAUAUAUUGGGGCGGCUAAAUGGCUGGCAGCACAAUCACAGAUGUGGAACACAAUUGUGUUCAACUCUGUGCGCAUCACUUGGGAAACAUUCACAGCAGACACCACUAGCGGAUACAUCUCCAUGGCAUUCCUCUCUGAUUACAUGUUAUCAAUACCCACUGGGGUGGAGGAUGUUGCCAGGAUCGUGCCCUCAGCUACAAUAGCUCUGAAAAACAGAGGGCCGUCCAUUGUUAUGCCACAAAACCGCACUGUGUUCAGGUGUAUACAGGCUGGUCAGUUUGCUGCGUUGGGCAGCGCGGCUGACAAGCAAAUGUAUUCCCCCGGACGAUUCAUUGUGGCUAUCCCCAAAGCUAGUGCAACACAAGCGGUAGGUCAAAUCAAAAUCUCGUAUUCCGUUUCCUACCGUGGAGCAGCGAUCCUACAACCUGCCCUGGUUCCAGGCCCAGGGCUGGCAAAUCAUUGAGCAUAAGGUGAGCCGGCAUGAGGUUGCAAGACCGGAACAACCAGUCCUUCUGGCAGAGUCCUGCCAAUCCAAAGUGUCUGGGAGCCUAAAUCGUAUACUAGUAGUUUGCGUGAUGACCAUGACUGGAGAGUGGGCGGCGGCUGCCAACCGCAGACUGGGCGUAUAUAGUAAGCCUUGACCCACCCAUGGAAAACACGUAUUUACGAACGGUACGACAUGGUAACUGGAUACACUUAACCCUGGGGCAAGUAGAUGUUAGGAAACUAGCAUCGGGCCGCCCACGAGGGUUUCUGAACUCAACGGAGUAGAACGGGGGGGGGUAAUGCCCCUCUCUUCCGGCCC
RNAcentral lists this unclassified non-coding RNA (1466 nucleotides) under Maize chlorotic mottle virus. Its description in RNAcentral is "subgenomic RNA1". Lineage: Riboviria; Orthornavirae; Kitrinoviricota; Tolucaviricetes; Tolivirales; Tombusviridae. The record is from RNAcentral.